Molecule: ribosomal RNA, 442 nt
Filed under: uncultured bacterium
Lineage: Bacteria
Description: partial 16S ribosomal RNA
Rfam family: Bacterial small subunit ribosomal RNA
Source: RNAcentral
CCUACGGUGUGCAGCAGUGGGGGAUAUUGCACAAUGGGGGAAACCCUGAUGCAGCGACGCCGCGUGGGCGAAGAAGUAUUUCGGUAUGUAAAGCCCUAUCAGCAGGGAAGAAGAAAUGACGGUACCUGAGUAAGAAGCACCGGCUAAAUACGUGCCAGCAGCCGCGGUAAUACGUAUGGUGCAAGCGUUAUCCGGAUUUACUGGGUGUAAAGGGAGCGUAGACGGCUGUGCAAGUCUGAAGUGAAAGCCCGUGGCUCAACCGCGGAACUGCUUUGGAAACUGUAUAGCUUGAGUACUGGAGAGGCAGGCGGAAUUCCUAGUGUAGCGGUGAAAUGCGUAGAUAUUAGGAGGAACACCAGUGGCGAAGGCGGCCUGCUGGACAGAAACUGACGUUGAGGCUCGAAAGCGUGGGGAGCAAACAGGAUUAGAUACCCCAGUAGUC